UUUUGUGUGGUUGGUGGUGAUGUGCGUGGGAUCUUCGUUGGUAGUAGCCAAGUGAUGGGGUGACGCAGUGAGGUAGCUGAGCCAUGUAGUGGAUUGUGGUGUAAGCGUGUGGCCCGUGGCAUAGGUAAAUCCGUGUCGCAUAGUGGGUGAGGCGUGAUGCGUAGACCUUUGUGGUUGAUGUUGGUGAUCCUGUACUGUCGAGAAAAGCCUCUAGCGAGUGCAUAUAUGGCCCGUACCCAUAACCGACACAGGUGGUCAGGUAGAGAAUACUAAGGCGAUCGGGUGAACUGUGGUUAAGGAACUCGGCAAAUUGCCCCCGUAACUUCGGGAGAAGGGGGACCAUUGCUGGUGACCGACGUGGUUGAGCUGGUGGUGGUCGCAGAGAAUAGAGGGAAGCGACUGUUUAUUAAAAACACAGGUCCGUGCGAAAACGUGGAAGUUGAUGUAUACGGACUGACGCCUGCCCGGUGCUGGAAGGUUAAGAGGACCUGUUAGGGCAUUGUUGUCCGAAGCGGAGAAUUUAAGCCCCAGUAAACGGCGGUGGUAACUAUAACCAUCCUAAGGUAGCGAAAUUCCUUGUCGGGUAAGUUCCGACCUGCACGAAUGGCGUAACGACUUCCCUGCUGUCUCAACCACAGGCCCGGUGAAAUUGCAGUACGAGUAAAGAUGCUCGUUACGCGCGGCAGGACGAAAAGACCCCGGGACCUUCACUAUAGCUUGGUAUUGGUGUUUGGUUCGGUUUGUGUAGGAUAGGUGGGAGACUGUGAAGUGGUCACGCUAGUGGUUGUGGAGUCGAAAGUUGAAAUACCACUCUGAUCGGAUUGAGCACCUUAACCUUGGCCCAUGAUCUGGGUUGGGGACAGUGCCUGGUGGGUAGUUUAACUGGGGCGGUUGCCUCCUAAAGUGUAACGGAGGCGCCCAAAGGUUCCCUCAGCCUGGUUGGCAAUCAGGUGGUGAGUGUAAGUGCACAAGGGAGCUUGACUGUGAGACUGACAGGUCGAGCAGGGACGAAAGUCGGGACUAGUGAUCCGGCAUCUACUUGUGGAAGUGGUGUCGCUCAACGGAUAAAAGGUACCCCGGGGAUAACAGGCUGAUCUUCCCCAAGAGUCCAUAUCGACGGGAUGGUUUGGCACCUCGAUGUCGGCUCGUCGCAUCCUGGGGCUGGAGUAGGUCCCAAGGGUUGGGCUGUUCGCCCAUUAAAGCGGCACGCGAGCUGGGUUUAGAACGUCGUGAGACAGUUCGGUCUCUAUCCGCCGCGCGCGUUGAAACUUGAAGAAGGCUGUCCCUAGUACGAGAGGACCGGGACGGACGUACCUCUAGUGUGCCAGUUGUCACGCCAGUGGCAGGGCUGGUUGGCUACGUACGGGAGGGAUAACCGCUGAAAGCAUCUAAGCGGGAAGCCUGUUUUGAGAUGAGGUUUCUUUUGAGGUUCCCUCUAGACUAGGGGGUUGAUAGGCCAGAUCUGGAAGCGUAGUAAUGCGUUAAGGUGACUGGUACUAAUAUGACCGAGUAAUAACAUUGU
Molecule: ribosomal RNA, 1522 nt
Filed under: Corynebacterium belfantii
Lineage: Bacteria; Bacillati; Actinomycetota; Actinomycetes; Mycobacteriales; Corynebacteriaceae
Description: partial 23S ribosomal RNA
Rfam family: Bacterial large subunit ribosomal RNA
Source: RNAcentral